This 207-nucleotide ribosomal RNA is filed under the name uncultured bacterium. RNAcentral describes it as "partial 16S ribosomal RNA". It matches the Rfam family "Bacterial small subunit ribosomal RNA", at positions 568 to 774 of the family's 1533-position model. The record is from RNAcentral.
UGUGUAGGUGGCUGAGCAAGUCUUAGAUGAAAUCCCGAGGCCUACCCUCGGAACUGUCUUCGAUACUGCUCAGCUUGAGGAUGGUUGAGGAGAACGGAAUUCCCGGUGGAGCGGUGAAAUGCGUAGAUAUCGGGAGGAACACCAGAGGCGAAGGCGGUUCUCUGGGCCAUUCCUGACACUGAGACACGAAAGCUAGGGGAGCAAACG